Molecule: ribosomal RNA, 825 nt
Filed under: uncultured marine bacterium
Lineage: Bacteria
Description: bacterial SSU rRNA
Rfam family: Bacterial small subunit ribosomal RNA
Source: RNAcentral
CAUGCAAGUCGUGCGAGAAAGUAUCUUCGGAUAUGAGUAGAGCGGCGGACGGGUGAGUAACGUGUAGGAAUCUACCUAGUAGAAGGGGAUAGCCCGGGGAAACCCGGAUUAAUACCGUAUACCUCCUUCGGGAGAAAGAAGGCCUCUCUUUGAAGCUUUCGCUACUAGAUGAGCCUGCGUAAGAUUAGCUUGUUGGUGAGGUAAAGGCUCACCAAGGCUACGAUCUUUAGCUGGUCUGAGAGGACGAUCAGCCACAUUGGGACUGAGACACGGCCCAGACUCCUACGGGAGGCAGCAGUGGGGAAUAUUGGACAAUGGGCGCAAGCCUGAUCCAGCCAUACCGCGUGUGUGAAGAAGGCCUUCGGGUUGUAAAGCACUUUAAGCAGGGAGAAAAAGUUAUAAGUUAAUACCUUAUAACCCUGAUGUUACCUGCAGAAUAAGCACCGGCUAAUUCCGUGCCAGCAGCCGCGGUAAUACGGAAGGUGCAAGCGUUAAUCGGAAUUACUGGGCGUAAAGCGCGCGUAGGUGGUUUGUUAAGUUGGAUGUGAAAGCCCUGGGCUCAACCUAGGAACUGCAUCCAAAACUAACUCACUAGAGUACGAUAGAGGGAGGUAGAAUUCAUAGUGUAGCGGUGGAAUGCGUAGAUAUUAUGAAGAAUACCAGUGGCGAAAGCGGCCUCCUGGAUCUGUACUGACACUGAGUGCGAAAGCGUGGGUAGCGAACAGGAUUAGAUACCCUGGUAGUCCACGCCGUAAACGAUGACACUAGCUGUUGGGAGACUAUGUCUUUCAGUGCGCAGCUAACGCUUUAAGUUGUCCGCCUGGG